CCUCCUCAUUCCGCCGCCGCCGCCACUCCUCUUGUCUCCCCUUCCUCGGGAUCUAAGCCUGCAACCAGCCUCUCUCCCUUCCUCGUUUUCAGCGUUAGACCAACCAGAGCCUGCUCCCGAUCCAGAUCCUCUCUCGCCCUCCGACCACCUCCCUCGCCUUGCGCGUCCAUCUAAUCGAGCUCGCUUGUCUCCCCAACCUCUGGCACGGCUGUGCCGUAAGCAGCAACAACAACUCCACCGGAGCUCCACCCCACGACCUCUUCGGGCACCCACGCCUGCCGCCAGCGAAGGGCACGGUCAGCCAUGGAUGUCGUGCCGCCCGCCCAAGCUUCCUCCUUCGCUGGUCGUCUCCAAACCUGUUUGUCUCGAGCCCCAUCGAACCUGCAGCCUCCGUUUGGAACACCGGCAUCCCGUCCCGGACCUCAUCAUCGCUGCGCACUUGCCCGGACCUAGCCUUGACCCAUCGCCCGGGGUCGUUUCCCCACCGAACGACCACCAGGCCAGCCCUCGCGCCCCUCUCCUUCGUCUCCCUCUGUGCUAAUCUCUCUCUCCUGGAGCUCUCAUAUCUCUUCCUCUACUUCUUCUCGCAGGAACCGGGGAAGCCCCAGCUCUCGCUGCCGCCCUACUCUGUUUGUCGUCGUCUUCGUCGAUCCGACGAGGCCCUGCAUCUCCGGCCUCGUCCCUGCCUUCAGGUCGCCGUCCAGCACCCGGAUCAGCACCUUCCUCCGCUGCUGCCUCACCACUAUCCAUCAGUGCCGCCACACCCCUGCUUCCUCUGCAUCGAAGACGAGCGCCUCGCUCGCGUUGACCGUCCCUGCCUCGCUAACCCGCUCGCCCGCCAGCCGCAGCGACCGCGCCCUGGGCCUUAAGCCGGGAGCCGCCCAGCAACCGGCCCAGCUCCCGUCUCCACCAACCUGGGCUUGACCCAUGUUCUGAUUACAUUGCGAUUGUGAGGAUCCGUUCGACUACAUUGGUUCGUCUACUUCAUGGACUAGAUCUUCUUUCUAGCGGGAUCUCAGGCAAGAUGACCGUCACCUUGGGUCUCACUACUAUCUUUGCUAUGCUAGUUGUCUCGAUGCUAUCGCUAUGUCGCGCUACCUACCACUUGUUUAUCAAGCCUCCCAAAUUGCCAUGAUAGCCUCUAAAUUUUUUCACCCUUCCUAGAAAAUCGUUGUUUGGCUAUGUUAUCGCUUUGCUCAACCCCUCUUAUAUCGUUGCUAGUUGCAGGUGCAAUUGCAGUUUGUUCCAUGUUGGGACAUGGAUAUGUUGGAAUAUCACAAUAUCUCUUAUU
This is a long non-coding RNA of Triticum urartu, 1291 nucleotides long. RefSeq lists it as uncharacterized. Lineage: Eukaryota; Viridiplantae; Streptophyta; Magnoliopsida; Poales; Poaceae. The record is from RefSeq and is a predicted model, not a curated record.